This 208-nucleotide ribosomal RNA is filed under the name uncultured bacterium. RNAcentral's name for it is "partial 16S ribosomal RNA". It matches the Rfam family "Bacterial small subunit ribosomal RNA", at positions 29 to 227 of the family's 1533-position model. The record is from RNAcentral.
AGUGAACGCUGGCGGCGUGGAUAAGGCAUGCAAGUCGAGCGAUACUCGCAAGGGUAUAGCGGCAAACGGGUGAGUAACACGUAGAUAACCUACCCCUAAGCGCGGGAUAGUCCGGCGAAGGUCGGAGUAAUACCGCAUGUGAUUCCGAAGUGGCAUCACUUUGGAAAGAAAGAUGGCCUAGACCGCAAGGUUGCUAUCACUUUAGGUA